RNAcentral lists this ribosomal RNA (548 nucleotides) under Trichoderma spirale. RNAcentral's name for it is "eukaryotic LSU rRNA". The stretch from base 174 to 327 matches the Rfam family "5.8S ribosomal RNA". Lineage: Eukaryota; Fungi; Ascomycota; Sordariomycetes; Hypocreales; Hypocreaceae. The record is from RNAcentral.
UGUGAACGUUACCAAACUGUUGCCUCGGCGGGAUCUCUGCCCCGGGUGCGUCGCAGCCCCGGACCAAGGCGCCCGCCGGAGGACCAACCAAAACUCUUUUGUAUACCCCCUCGCGGGUUUUUUAUAUCUGAGCCAUCUCGGCGCCUCUCGUAGGCGUUUCGAAAAUGAAUCAAAACUUUCAACAACGGAUCUCUUGGUUCUGGCAUCGAUGAAGAACGCAGCGAAAUGCGAUAAGUAAUGUGAAUUGCAGAAUUCAGUGAAUCAUCGAAUCUUUGAACGCACAUUGCGCCCGCCAGUAUUCUGGCGGGCAUGCCUGUCCGAGCGUCAUUUCAACCCUCGAACCCCUCCGGGGGGUCGGCGUUGGGGAUCGGCCCUUUACGGGGCCGGCCCCGAAAUACAGUGGCGGUCUCGCCGCAGCCUCUCCUGCGCAGUAGUUUGCACACUCGCAUCGGGAGCGCGGCGCGUCCAUUGCCGUAAAACACCCAACUUUCUGAAAUGUUGACCUCGGAUCAGGUAGGAAUACCCGCUGAACUUAAGCAUAUCAAUAA